CCAGGACCAAUCCUGUUGCCUGUUCCAUCUCGAUUUAUCUGCAGGAUCUCACUAAUUGAAUCUACCACAGCAGCAGGCAGGCCUGGGGCACAGCCAGUGAGGCAGACACGCAGCGGGCUGCAAACUUCCCUCUUUUCCUUUUUAGCCAAGAGCGAAACACAAGCAGCCCAGAAACUCUCUCCCUUCCCCUGACCCUGCCAAUCUGAGUCUGAGGGGAACCCUGCAGCCCUGUGGCCCAUAACCCAGGGCACCCAUGCCCGCCGAGUCCUGAGACCAGACAGUGCCCCCGCUGCCUGCCCUCCUCCCCCACUUCUCUCUCAAAUUCCUGAAGCAGAAAAAAAAGUCUGCCUGAGCAGCGGGGCUGAAAUCCCCCAACUCUGUCACUUAGCCGGCGCGGUCCCCUACCGUAGGAGUCGUCUUGGUCCAGGAGGGAGUCGGGCUCCAUGGCGUGUGGGCCCCCAGCCCCUGGCCCCACCCUAAUUUAUGAACCGAGGCUGUCUCCAUGAGCGUCUGGGUUUCUCCUUUUGUAUUCCAUCUGGCGGCUUUUCCAACUAGAUGACAGGCCUGGCUGGGAACAUUAGAAGGGACCGAGGCGGCGAGAUGUCUAAAAUAGGAAGACGCCGGGGAUGCUUGGCCUGGCUGCCCGCGAUGCUGGCUGCAGGGAUCUGGCCGGGCUGUGCAGAUGGAAAAGCUAAGAGCUGCCAUGAUAGAAACAGCUUCCCUCCACCAUGCCAUUAUGUUUCUCUCUCAUCUCAGGCCUAAAAGUCGUGGAAUCAGCUGACCAUGGACUGAAACCUCUGAAACCAUGAGCCAAAAUAAAUGUUUUCUACUUUAAGUUGAUUUCCUCAGGUAUUUUGUCAUAGCACCAGCAAGCUGGCUGACACACGGUGAGGUGGAGGGAAAGCUUCACUGGAUCCUAAUCAGGGAUGAUCCCCCCUGGGUGAGG
RNAcentral lists this long non-coding RNA (946 nucleotides) under Heterocephalus glaber (naked mole-rat). RNAcentral's name for it is "lncRNA (ENSHGLG00100042967.1)". Lineage: Eukaryota; Metazoa; Chordata; Mammalia; Rodentia; Bathyergidae. The record is from RNAcentral.